RNAcentral lists this ribosomal RNA (495 nucleotides) under uncultured bacterium. RNAcentral describes it as "partial 16S ribosomal RNA". It matches the Rfam family "Bacterial small subunit ribosomal RNA", at positions 28 to 507 of the family's 1533-position model. The record is from RNAcentral.
GACGAACGCUGGCGGCGUGCCUAAUACAUGCAAGUAGAACGCUGAAGGAGGAGCUUGCUUCUCUGGAUGAGUUGCGAACGGGUGAGUAACGCGUAGGUAACCUGCCUGGUAGCGGGGGAUAACUAUUGGAAACGAUAGCUAAUACCGCAUAAGAGUAGAUGUUGCAUGACAUUUGCUUAAAAGGUGCAAUUGCAUCACUACCAGAUGGACCUGCGUUGUAUUAGCUAGUUGGUGGGGUAACGGCUCACCAAGGCGACGAUACAUAGCCGACCCGAGAGGGUGAUCGGCCACACUGGGACUGAGACACGGCCCAGACUCCUACGGGAGGCAGCAGUAGGGAAUCUUCGGCAAUGGACGGAAGUCUGACCGAGCAACGCCGCGUGAGUGAAGAAGGUUUUCGGAUCGUAAAGCUCUGUUGUAAGAGAAGAACGAGUGUGAGAGUGGAAAGUUCACACUGUGACGGUAUCUUACCAGAAAGGGACGGCUAACUACGUG